Molecule: ribosomal RNA, 253 nt
Filed under: uncultured bacterium
Lineage: Bacteria
Description: partial 16S ribosomal RNA
Rfam family: Bacterial small subunit ribosomal RNA
Source: RNAcentral
UACGAGGGGGGCGAGCGUUGUUCGGAAUUAUUGGGCGUAAAGGGCGCGUAGGCGGUUGGGUAAGUCUUGUGUGAAAUCUUCGGGCUCAACUCGAAGUCUGCACGAGAAACUAUCUGGCUUGAGUGUGGGAGAGGUGAGUGGAAUUCCUGGUGUAGCGGUGAAAUGCGUAGAUAUCAGGAGGAACACCUGUGGCGAAAGCGGCUCGCUGGACCACAACUGACGCUGAGGCGCGAAAGCUAGGGGAGCAAACAGG